UGAAAUUGGAACAGUACAGAGAAGAUGAACUUGGCCCUCGCGCAAGGGUGCCAUGCAAAUUCAUGAAGCGUUCCAUAUUUUC
RNAcentral lists this small nuclear RNA (82 nucleotides) under Tupaia belangeri (northern tree shrew). The record is from RNAcentral. Lineage: Eukaryota; Metazoa; Chordata; Mammalia; Scandentia; Tupaiidae.